CUGUCAUUCACCUCUGGAUAGAAACCGUGCCAUUCUUAACACACUGCCAAGAACCUUACAAGUCUCAGCAGCGCUGGCAAAGCUAACGGUGUGGAGAGAGGCGGACAGCCCUUCAAUUGAGGCGCUGAGUCACCUCCUCUGCUCUCUGAAUGUUUUUCUACUCAUGGGAUCUCAUCUCCAAGGGCAGAGAGGAAGGUGAAGCCCAGACAGCUGUGGUGAGAGGUUUGGUGUGAGGGAACACUCUCCACCACCCACUCAGGCCUAGCCAGUGUGGGCUGAGUUCCGCCUGGCUCUCCCUAACCUCCGGCUGACUCACCCCGUGCUUGCUACCUAGUCAUAUCUCCCGUCUCUGCUGUGCUGUUUGUUUCACAGGCAGAGCCAGCCCCCUGCCUCUCCAGCACUGGAAAACGCCAGAGGCUUCUUGGGGUCCCCCAGUGCUGGAAGGAGAGAGCAUCCUGACCACCCCCACUUCUUCCUGGGCUUGGUUGAUGAUGGCAUUUAAAUCCCAGGGAGAAAUGUCUUGUGGUCAAGUCCAAGUGGUUGUAGAUUUCCUGUUUUUCAGAUGUGUCCUCUCUACCCAGCUAAGUUCAUUCCUCUGAUUGUCUGUGAUUGUCCUGUCUAGAGGCCAUACCUUUUGAAUCUCAGAAUUGUACUCAAGCAGAUCUCCAUUGAUAGGGAGUAGACAUGGACUGCCCGCUUCAACAUGUCCACCCUGAACUCAUCCAGGUGUUUCGUCCUCCAAGUGCUCAAGAUAAUGGUAUAACGAGGGUCAGUGGAUAUGGUUCUGAGUGACCAACAGAAACAAACACUCCAAAAAUACAAAGAAGAGCAACUCCCCCAAAUCAAAAGACAAUGAGAGAAAGCCAAACCAGGAAUGCCCAAAGUGGGUCUCCACCAACCUGCCAUCCCAGCAAGACCAGAAGAGUGAAAAACCAAACUGGAAAAGCUGGCUUGCCCUCAGUUCUGCAAACAGUAUCUGAGUAUGUUUUACACACCAAGGAAUUCUGGACUGGAACCAGCCUCUGACUGGGACACUGGAGCUGCUUCUUGUGAGGAGUUACUCUGUGACGGGGUAUCUUUCUUAGGAUUACUCACCACC
Mesocricetus auratus (golden hamster) is the source of this 1099-nucleotide long non-coding RNA. RefSeq lists it as uncharacterized. The transcript has 3 exons. The record is from RefSeq and is a predicted model, not a curated record. NCBI's taxonomy places the organism in Eukaryota, Metazoa, Chordata, Mammalia, Rodentia, Cricetidae.